UGGAAGAGAACAUCCAAGUCCUGAAGUGCUGAAGUCCCGAAUUUUGGAAGUGCCGAACCGAACCAAGGUGCAGAAGUUCCGAAAUGCCAAAGUCCAGAAUUUUCAGAAUACCGAACCGAACCGAAGUGCCAAAAUUCUGAAGUCCAGAAUUUCAGAAUGCCGAACCGAAUAUUUUGCCCAUGCACAUCCCUAAUGUACUCUAUAAGAGAGUAAAC
This is a non-coding RNA of Pelobates cultripes (western spadefoot toad), 215 nucleotides long. NCBI's taxonomy places the organism in Eukaryota, Metazoa, Chordata, Amphibia, Anura, Pelobatidae. The record is from the annotation of a GenBank genome assembly.